RNAcentral lists this transfer RNA (72 nucleotides) under pig gut metagenome. It matches the Rfam family "tRNA". Rfam says of the family: Transfer RNA (tRNA) molecules are approximately 80 nucleotides in length. Their secondary structure includes four short double-helical elements and three loops (D, anti-codon, and T loops). Further hydrogen bonds mediate the characteristic L-shaped molecular structure. tRNAs have two regions of fundamental functional importance: the anti-codon, which is responsible for specific mRNA codon recognition, and the 3' end, to which the tRNAs corresponding amino acid is attached (by aminoacyl-tRNA synthetases). tRNAs cope with the degeneracy of the genetic code in two manners: having more than one tRNA (with a specific anti-codon) for a particular amino acid; and 'wobble' base-pairing, i.e. permitting non-standard base-pairing at the 3rd anti-codon position. The record is from RNAcentral.
GGAGUAUAGCUCAGUUGGUUAGAGCACUUGCCUUACAAGCAAGGGGUCGUAGGUUCGAGUCCUACUGUUCCC